UGGGUGACCUGGCCUGAAGUGAGGGAUACCGGCGAGAAAUCGCCGACAAGCCCGCAUAGGUUCUUUUGCGUAGAGGCAAGAGAGCAAAGGUCCUUUUCGGAGGGCUGCUUUGGGAUGGGCCUGUGGCCGAUUAGCUAGUUGGGGGGGUAAGAGCCUCCCAAGGCGACGAUCGGUAGCUGGUCUGAGAGGACGAUCAGCCACACUGGGAUUGAGAACGGCCCAG
Molecule: ribosomal RNA, 223 nt
Filed under: uncultured bacterium
Lineage: Bacteria
Description: partial 16S ribosomal RNA
Rfam family: Bacterial small subunit ribosomal RNA
Source: RNAcentral